RNAcentral lists this ribosomal RNA (441 nucleotides) under uncultured bacterium. RNAcentral's name for it is "bacterial SSU rRNA". It matches the Rfam family "Bacterial small subunit ribosomal RNA", at positions 355 to 786 of the family's 1533-position model. The record is from RNAcentral.
UAGGGAAUUUUCGUCAAUGGGGGGAACCCUGAACGAGCAAUGCCGCGUGUGUGAAGAAAGGUCUUCGGAUCGUAAAGCACUGUUGUAAGUGAAGAAUGCCAUAUAGAGGAAAUGCUAUGUGGGUGACGGUAGCUUACCAGAAAGCCACGGCUAACUACGUGCCAGCAGCCGCGGUAAUACGUAGGUGGCAAGCGUUAUCCGGAAUCAUUGGGCGUAAAGGGUGCGUAGGUGGCACGAUAAGUCUGAAGUAAAAGGCAACAGCUCAACUGUUGUAUGCUUUGGAAAGCUGUCGAGCUAGAGUGCAGAAGAGGGCGAUGGAAUUCCAUGUGUAGCGGUAAAAUGCGUAGAUAUAUGGAGGAACACCAGUGGCGAAGGCGGCUUACUGGACAGUAACUGACGUUGAGGCUCGAAAGCGUGGGGGAGCAAACAGGAUUAGAUACC